UGCUGGAGGUAUCAGAAGUGCGAAUGCUGACAUAAGUAACGAUAAAGCGGGUGAAAAGCCCGCUCGCCGGAAGACCAAGGGUUCCUGUCCAACGUUAAUCGGGGCAGGGUGAGUCGACCCCUAAGGCGAGGCCGAAAGGCGUAGUCGAUGGGAAACGGGUUAAUAUUCCCGUACUUGGUGUUACUGCGAAGGGGGGACGGAGAAGGCUAUGUUGGCCGGGCGACGGUUGUCCCGGUUUAAGCGUGUAGGUGUGUGUUCCAGGUAAAUCCGGUUCACUUUAACACUGAGGCGUGAUGACGAGGCACUACGGUGCUGAAGCAACAAAUGCCCUGCUUCCAGGAAAAGCCUCUAAGCAUCAGGUAACAUCAAAUCGUACCCCAAACCGACACAGGUGGUCAGGUAGAGAAUACCAAGGCGCUUGAGAGAACUCGGGUGAAGGAACUAGGCAAAAUGGUGCCGUAACUUCGGGAGAAGGCACGCUGACACGUAGGUGAAGUGAUUUACUCACGGAGCUGAAGUCAGUCGAAGAUACCAGCUGGCUGCAACUGUUUAUUAAAAACACAGCACUGUGCAAACACGAAAGUGGACGUAUACGGUGUGACGCCUGCCCGGUGCCGGAAGGUUAAUUGAUGGGGUCAGCGCAAGCGAAGCUCCUGAUCGAAGCCCCGGUAAACGGCGGCCGUAACUAUAACGGUCCUAAGGUAGCGAAAUUCCUUGUCGGGUAAGUUCCGACCUGCACGAAUGGCGUAAUGAUGGCCAGGCUGUCUCCACCCGAGACUCAGUGAAAUUGAACUCGCUGUGAAGAUGCAGUGUACCCGCGGCAAGACGGAAAGACCCCGUGAACCUUUACUAUAGCUUGACACUGAACAUUGAGCCUUGAUGUGUAGGAUAGGUGGGAGGCUUUGAAGUGUGGACGCCAGUCUGCAUGGAGCCGACCUUGAAAUACCACCCUUUAAUGUUUGAUGUUCUAACGUGGACCCGUAAUCCGGGUUGCGGACAGUGUCUGGUGGGUAGUUUGACUGGGGCGGUCUCCUCCUAAAGAGUAACGGAGGAGCACGAAGGUUGGCUAAUCCUGGUCGGACAUCAGGAGGUUAGUGCAAUGGCAUAAGCCAGCUUGACUGCGAGCGUGACGGCGCGAGCAGGUGCGAAAGCAGGUCAUAGUGAUCCGGUGGUUCUGAAUGGAAGGGCCAUCGCUCAACGGAUAAAAGGUACUCCGGGGAUAACAGGCUGAUACCGCCCAAGAGUUCAUAUCGACGGCGGUGUUUGGCACCUCGAUGUCGGCUCAUCACAUCCUGGGGCUGAAGUAGGUCCCAAGGGUAUGGCUGUUCGCCAUUUAAAGUGGUACGCGAGCUGGGUUUAGAACGUCGUGAGACAGUUCGGUCCCUAUCUGCCGUGGGCGCUGGAGAACUGAGGGGGGCUGCUCCUAGUACGAGAGGACCGGAGUGGACGCAUCACUGGUGUUCGGGUUGUCAUGCCAAUGGCACUGCCCGGUAGCUAAAUGCGGAAGAGAUAAGUGCUGAAAGCAUCUAAGCACGAAACUUGCCCCGAGAUGAGUUCUCCCUGAGACUUAGAGUCUCCUGAAGGAACGUUGAAGACGACGACGUUGAUAGGCCGGGUGUGUAAGCGCAGCGAUGCGUUGAGCUAACCGGUACUAAUGAACCGUGAGGCUUAACCUU
Molecule: ribosomal RNA, 1676 nt
Filed under: Salmonella enterica
Lineage: Bacteria; Pseudomonadati; Pseudomonadota; Gammaproteobacteria; Enterobacterales; Enterobacteriaceae
Also listed under: 11 other names
Description: partial 23S ribosomal RNA
Rfam family: Bacterial large subunit ribosomal RNA
Source: RNAcentral